Molecule: small RNA, 69 nt
Filed under: Lacticaseibacillus paracasei
Lineage: Bacteria; Bacillati; Bacillota; Bacilli; Lactobacillales; Lactobacillaceae
Description: Lactobacillus paracasei mraW
Source: RNAcentral
UAUCAUCUUCGAAGCGCGACCACCGAUCCAGAAACUGGGUUGGCGAUCGCGCUUCGAUUCUUUCUGACA